Molecule: long non-coding RNA, 281 nt
Organism: Aethina tumida (small hive beetle)
Lineage: Eukaryota; Metazoa; Arthropoda; Insecta; Coleoptera; Nitidulidae
Exons: 2
Source: RefSeq, a predicted model, not a curated record
UAUAAAUGAAGUUUAACACCUUAUUCAGUCAAUCAAAGUAUUUGUCAAAAUUUGGAAAGAAACUAUCUGAAAUUAAUGAAAUGGAUAAACCAGAAGUCCGGUGUACCUGUUCAUGCUGCGAACUCGAAUAUCAAAGACGUGAAAUGUUAAAAAACAAUGUUGUCACUUUCCUCGUAGUAUGUGGUCUUAUAAGAAUGUUCAGGACUAUCAUUGGUCCAGCUGUUGUUUAAAAUAUGCAGAGUCCAGGCAUUAUCACAAUUAAAUUGACCAUUUACUCUUAA